CGCCUCGUCGGCGGGCGCCGCCGGCUCGGCGGUCUUACGGCGGCUGCGGCGGCCGGCACCGGUCCUGCUGCGGGGCGCGUCCGCCGGGGCGUC
RNAcentral lists this transfer RNA (93 nucleotides) under Cellulomonas oligotrophica. RNAcentral describes it as "tRNA-Arg". Lineage: Bacteria; Bacillati; Actinomycetota; Actinomycetes; Micrococcales; Cellulomonadaceae. The record is from RNAcentral.